RNAcentral lists this ribosomal RNA (430 nucleotides) under Pseudomonadota bacterium. Its description in RNAcentral is "Proteobacteria bacterium partial 16S ribosomal RNA". It matches the Rfam family "Bacterial small subunit ribosomal RNA", at positions 355 to 776 of the family's 1533-position model. The record is from RNAcentral. Lineage: Bacteria; Pseudomonadati; Pseudomonadota.
UGGGGAAUAUUGGACAAUGGGGGGAACCCUGAUCCAGCCAUGCCGCGUGUGUGAAGACGGCCUUAUGGUUGUAAAGCACUUUAAGCGAGGAGGAGGGUACUGGUAUUAAUACUACCAGGUACUGGACGUUACUCGCAGAAUAAGCACCGGCUAACUCUGUGCCAGCAGCCGCGGUAAUACAGAGGGUGCAAGCGUUAAUCGGAAUUACUGGGCGUAAAGCGCGCGUAGGUGGUUCGUAAAGUUGAAUGUGAAAGCCCCGGGCUCAACCUGGGAACUGCAUCCAAAACUUGCGAGAUAGAGUAGAGCAGAGGGGGGUGGAAUUUACAGUGUAGCGGUGAAAUGCGUAGAAAUAGGACGGAUCAAAAGUGGAGAGGGCGACAACCUCGGCUGAUACUGACACUGAAAUGCGAAAGCGUGGGGAGCAAACAGG